UAAAAACUAGGUUUCAAACUUGAAGAAAAACAUUCCUCUUUUGGUCUUUCCUUUUUUCUGAAAAGGUGAAAAUGAUUUGAAGUAGAGGGAUUUCUUUGGUCUUCUUGAGUUGAAAUCUCUGGGUUUUGGAAGUUGAAAUCGGGUUCUGAUUUGGUGUUGUCUGUUGUUUGUUGUUGAUCACUAUCUUUAGACGAAUCAGUUUUUCUCUUGACCUUUAUUAAGUCUUGUUUGAAUCAUCUAGGUAUGUAACUAAGUUUCAGCUAUGAGAAUGACU
This 274-nucleotide long non-coding RNA is filed under the name Nicotiana benthamiana. RNAcentral describes it as "long non-coding RNA (NBEN_LNC020947)". Lineage: Eukaryota; Viridiplantae; Streptophyta; Magnoliopsida; Solanales; Solanaceae. The record is from RNAcentral.